AACUUGAAUUUUGGUUAACAAACCUAAAAAUCAAUAAGUAGUGGACUAUAAGUGGAAUUUUAAAAUCAAAGAAGGAGAUUCUAGUACAAGGAACAAAAGAUAUAAAACUAGACUUACAGCUAGAGAGUUCUCUCAAAGAAAGGGAAUUGGAUAUAAUGAAAUAUUUCCCUUAUUACAAAAUAUACUCCAAUCAGGAUUCUGCUUGUUUUGACUACUCAUUUUAAAUGGAAACUUGAUUAGUUUGAUGUUAAAGCUACAUUUCUAAAUGGUGAUCUUGAUGAGGUUAUUUAUAUGAGUCAACUAAAGGGUUUUAAAGUUAAUCCAAAAUAUGAAAAAGGUAUGUCUGUUAAAAAAGUCUCUUUUUGGCUUAAAAGAAGCCUUCAGACAAUGGUACAAGAAAUUUAACUUAUAUGUUCAAAUUUUGGAUUUUGUUAAGAGCAAUUUUGGAUAUUGUUUCUUUUACAAAUGAUAGGAGAACCUGAAUUUCUUUAUUUGCUAUUAUAUGUUGAUGACAUAUUGCUAGCUUGUCAUGAUAGAUCUGAUAUAAAUUUAAUUAAGUCGAAAUUGGAAUCUGAAUUUGAAAUGAAAAAUCUAGAACAAGCUAAAGGAAUUCUUAGAAUGGAAAUUAAAAGAGUUCGAAAGAAUUGUAUUCUUUAUUUGAAUCAAUGCUCUUAUGUGAAAUAAUACUUAAAGGGUUUUCUAUGCUUGAAUGUAAACCUGUUUCACUUCCUAUUGCUAAUCAUUUUAAAUUGUAUAGUGAACAGUCGACUAAAACAUGUGAUGAGUUUGAAAGAAUGAAAAAUGUACCUUAUGCUAACUUUAUAGGGUCGAUUAUAUAUCUCAUGGUGUGUACUAGACCUGAAGUGGCUCAUGGCACAAGUAUUCUUAAUAGAUUUAUGGCAAACAAAGGUGAAACGCACUAUUUAGUUAUUAAGUGGAUGUUGAAAUAUUUGACAAGUUCAUCUGACUUAGGUUUAAAAUUUAAAAAUUCUUAAAGGCUAUACUGAUUCUGAUUUUGCUGGAAAUUUAGAUGAAAGAAGAUUCACUUCAUCUUAUAUUUUUUACUUUGUCUAAUGGAUGUGUUAGUUGGAAAUCUCAAUUGCAAAAACUCAUAGCCUUAUCUUCUACAGAGGCAGAAUAGAUUGUUGUCUAUGAUGCUGUUAAAGAAAAAUAUUUGGUUACGAGGAUUGUUAAAUGAAAUUGGUUCAAAAAAUGAAAUGGUUAGAAUUUAUACUGAUAAUCAAAGUGCCAUUCACCUUAGUAAAAAUUCUAUAUAUCAUGAUAGAACAAAACAUGUUGAUGUAAAGUUUAAUUUUGUGAGAAAAAUUCCUAUUGAAUUUAAUCCAUCUGAUUUUCGAACCAAGGUACUGUAUAAAUUCAAAAACUGCUCGAAAGGUUGUGAAUUUAGAAUAUCAAGCUGUAUUUUUUUAUAUGUUUACUAAAAUUUUU
RNAcentral lists this long non-coding RNA (1449 nucleotides) under Olea europaea subsp. europaea. The record is from RNAcentral. Lineage: Eukaryota; Viridiplantae; Streptophyta; Magnoliopsida; Lamiales; Oleaceae.